This 467-nucleotide ribosomal RNA is filed under the name uncultured bacterium. RNAcentral's name for it is "partial 16S ribosomal RNA". It matches the Rfam family "Bacterial small subunit ribosomal RNA", at positions 28 to 506 of the family's 1533-position model. The record is from RNAcentral.
GACGAACGCUGGCGGCGGGCUUAACACAUGCAAGUCGAACGGAAAGGCCCUGCUUUUGUGGGGUGCUCGAGUGGCGAACGGGUGAGUAACACGUGAGUAACCUGCCCUUGACUUUGGGAUAACUUCAGGAAACUGGGGCUAAUACCGGAUAGGAGCUCCUGCUGCAUGGUGGGGGUUGGAAAGUUUCGGCGGGUGGGGAUGGACUCGCGGCUUAUCAGCUUGUUGGUGGGGUAGUGGCUUACCAAGGCUUUGACGGGUAGCCGGCCUGAGAGGGUGACCGGCCACAUUGGGACUGAGAUACGGCCCAGACUCCUAAGGGAGGCAGCAGUGGGGAAUAUUGCACAAUGGGCGGAAGCCUGAUGCAGCAACGCCGCGUGCGGGAUGACGGCCUUCGGGUUGUAAACCGCUUUAGCCUGUGACGAAGCGUGAGUGACGGUAAUGGGUAAAGAAGCACCGGCUAACUACGU